Molecule: ribosomal RNA, 934 nt
Filed under: Aggregatibacter sp. oral taxon 512
Lineage: Bacteria; Pseudomonadati; Pseudomonadota; Gammaproteobacteria; Pasteurellales; Pasteurellaceae
Description: bacterial SSU rRNA
Rfam family: Bacterial small subunit ribosomal RNA
Source: RNAcentral
AUUGAACGCUGGCGGCAGGCUUCACACAUGCAAGUCGAACGGUAACAGGAGAAAGCUUGCUCUCUUGCUGACGAGUGGCGGACGGGUGAGUAAUGCUUGGGAAUCUGGCUUAUGGAGGGGGAUAACGACGGGAAACUAUCGCUAAUACCGCGUAGUAUCGAGAGAUGAAAGUGCGGGACCGCAAGGCCGCAUGCCAUAGGAUGAGCCCAAGUGGGAUUAGGUAGUUGGUGGGGUAAAGGCCUACCAAGCCGACGAUCUCUAGCUGGUCUGAGAGGAUGACCAGCCACACCGGGACUGAGACACGGCCCGGACUCCUACGGGAGGCAGCAGUGGGGAAUAUUGCGCAAUGGGGGCAACCCUGACGCAGCCAUGCCGCGUGAAUGAAGAAGGCCUUCGGGUUGUAAAGUUCUUUCGGUGACGAGGAAGGCGUGAUGUUUAAUAGGCAUCACGAUUGACGUUAAUCACAGAAGAAGCACCGGCUAACUCCGUGCCAGCAGCCGCGGUAAUACGGAGGAUGCGAGCGUUAAUCGGAAUAACUGGGCGUAAAGGGCACGCAGGCGGCUAUUUAAGUGAGGUGUGAAAUCCCCGGGCUUAACCUGGGAAUUGCAUUUCAGACUGGGUAGCUAGAGUACUUUAGGGAGGGGUAGAAUUCCACGUGUAGCGGUGAAAUGCGUAGAGAUGUGGAGGAAUACCGAAGGCGAAGGCAGCCCCUUGGGAAUGUACUGACGCUCAUGUGCGAAAGCGUGGGGAGCAAACAGGAUUAGAUACCCUGGUAGUCCACGCUGUAAACGCUGUCGAUUUGGGGAUUGGGCCUUGAGCUUGGUGCCCGAAGCUAACGUGAUAAAUCGACCGCCUGGGGAGUACGGCCGCAACGUUAAAACUCAAAUGAGUUGACGGGGGCCCGCACAAGCGGUGGAGCAUGUGGUUUAAUUCG